RNAcentral lists this ribosomal RNA (500 nucleotides) under uncultured bacterium. Its description in RNAcentral is "partial 16S ribosomal RNA". It matches the Rfam family "Bacterial small subunit ribosomal RNA", at positions 30 to 523 of the family's 1533-position model. The record is from RNAcentral.
AUUGAACGCUGGCGGAAUGCUUUACACAUGCAAGUCGAACGGCAGCACGGACUUCGGUCUGGUGGCGAGUGGCGAACGGGUGAGUAAUGUAUCGGAACGUGCCCAGUCGUGGGGGAUAACGUAGUGAAAAUUACGCUAAUACCGCAUACGAUCGAUGGACGAAAGCGGGGGACCGCAAGACCGCGCGCGCUUGGAGCGGCCGAUAUCAGAUUAGGUAGUUGGUGGGGUAAAGGCCCACCAAGCCAACGAUCUGUAGCUGGUCUGAGAGGACGACCAGCCACACUGGAACUGAGACACGGUCCAGACUCCUACGGGAGGCAGCAGUGGGGAAUUUUGGACAAUGGGCGAAAGCCUGAUCCAGCCAUUCCGCGUGCAGGAUGAAGGCCCUCGGGUUGUAAACUGCUUUUGUACAGAACGAAAAGGUUUCUACUAAUACUAGGAGCUCAUGACGGUACUGUAAGAAUAAGCACCGGCUAACUACGUGCCAGCCGCCGCCGUAA